ACUUUUUAAAUUUCCCAUUGUUUAUUUUACAUAUUGUAAAUUGAUUCGAUAAAUGUGUUUUUGUAGUACAGAGUGUAAUAUUACCUUGAGCAUAUAACAUAAACAUUUAAAAUACUUGAGAUGUCUAUUUAAUUCCCUAAUCGUAGGAAAUCUAAUGGUGUGUUCUGCUCGUUGGUGAGGUUGUUUUCUCUUUGACACAUUCCCCAUUUCCACCUAAUUUUAAGGUUUUUAAGACAUUUACCCAUAUCAUCAGAAAUCCAAUGGACAAGGUAUACUUUUAAGUAAUGUUAAUACAUACAUAGGCAGAUAUACUUGGGCAAUGCUAGGUAGUGAUCCCAUGGAAUUUUUAAAAAAAAUGUGUCGAGCUGGAAUUUGGGAGAAACUAAAGUAAAGAAUCAGAUCUACUCCUUUAUACUGAACAUGCUGAAAGCUUAAAUACUUUUCUCCGCAAUAUUUAUAAUCAUAUACAUGCAUGACAUAUGUAUAUGCUAUUUCAGACUUCAAAUUUUUUCACUGAAAUUUUCUUCAUAGAAAUUAUAAGAACUCAUUGGUUAUGCUUAAGACAAAGACAUUUUCAGUUGAAUAUGAGAACCAGUGAGGCACUGUGACAGAUUUUAGGUUACACAUGUUAAAUGCUGGACUGAGGCAGACAGUUGUUUCCUCUCAAUAUUGUAAUCACCCACAACAAGCUAUUUCAUGGAUUCAUAAAAGAAGCAAAGAACAUUUCAAUCCCAAUACCAGGUGUCAGAUAACAUGUUUUUAUUUUACUCAAGGAUGCUGCAUAUUAAAAUUUACCCCCCCCCCCCUCUUUUUUCCCCUAAAAAAUCCAAAAACAUAAUAAACGAGGCAAAACAAAAACAAGUCUGCUUCAUGUACAAAAUAUGCCAAUUCUGCAAAUUGAACUUUCAUCUUUUGAUAAUAUGUAAUGUAACCUGACUACCAGUAGAUACAGGUGUUUUAACAGAAUAAACAUGUUUUUAAUGGUUUGGCUCUCUUAUAGAUGUAAACCCCACAUCCUAUUUUAUUUAUAAUCAUCUUAAGAUCUAAAGUCUUUUUUUCUUUGCAAGAAACUGUACAAAAAUAAAAAGCGUGGAAUUUCAACUCACAGUUUUUAAGCCAUCUACAAAUAAAAUCAAAGAUUAUUUAUUUAUAAUGAAAUAUUGUGUGAUCCUCAACACUUCUACACUGGUUCCUUAAAAAAUGAAAGAGA
This 1210-nucleotide long non-coding RNA is filed under the name Mytilus galloprovincialis (Mediterranean mussel). The record is from RNAcentral. Lineage: Eukaryota; Metazoa; Mollusca; Bivalvia; Mytilida; Mytilidae.